RNAcentral lists this long non-coding RNA (27624 nucleotides) under Malus domestica (apple). The record is from RNAcentral. Lineage: Eukaryota; Viridiplantae; Streptophyta; Magnoliopsida; Rosales; Rosaceae.
UUUUUUUUUUUCUUUCUGAAGGUUCCAUGCUCCGGAGGAAUUUGAUGAGGGAAAGAGAAGUUGCAGGAAACGUCUUGAUGGACACAACCGGCGGCGAAGGAAGCCUCAACCAGAACCCUUGUCACGCCCGGGAAGUUUUCUGUCCAGUUACCAAGGUUAGCUGCAACCUUUGUUUGUGGGGAAGUACUUUAUCAAAAUUAAAGCUGUGAAAGCAGGCAUUUUAUUUGAACAUCCACUUGGUUGAGUGCUUCAUCAACUAUGUGUGGUGGUCCUGCCACAGUUGAUGAUCUAGUGGCCAUCUAGCAGAUCCUUCUCUUCAAAUCAUUUUUUUUAAGAUUCUUCGGAACUAUUAAUCUUCCUGUCAGGUGCUGCUUAAUUUCUCUGCUGUCACUAAACUGAUCAUGAAUCACAACCUUGUAUGAGUGUUUAAAUUGAACUUUCGCACGAACGGAUGCUGAGAGGGUAAGCUGAGAAAAAACCAAUGUGGAUUUAUUGCACUAAAAUUUGAUUUUCCACUUGUUGCAGGUACACAAUUGUUACCAUUCUCUAGUUCACUUGUAUACCCCUCCACCAAUGUCAUAAACCCUACCUGGGCCACCGGCAUUGUCAAAACUGAGCCAGAUCCCGGAGUUCAUAACCUCCAACUGCCAUUGAUCGAUAAGCAAAACAUGUUCCUUGGGUCCUCAGUCAGCACUAGCAGCAGCGGUUACAAGGGAGGAAAGCAGUUCUCACUCUUCCAGAGCAGCAACAGCUCUCCACUCCACCACAACCACCAAACAUCUCAUCAUCAUGGCACUUCUGUCUGCCAACCCCUUCUCAACACCAUUUCAUUCUCCGAAACUGCUAGUGGUGGUGGUGGGACAACAAAGAGCAAGAUGUUUUGUGACCGGUUAACAACUCAAAUCCAUGAUUCGGACUGUGCUCUCUCUCUUCUGUCAUCACCGCAGACGCAGCAGACAUCUGAAAUAGGUUUGAGACACACAGUGCAGCAGCCUAAUUCAAUCUCUCUGAUGCAACAACGACUAGGCCCCAACGGUCUACGCAGAAACAACAGUUCCAUGGAGCCCAUGGAUUCAGUUAUGGUCUCCAAUGGAAGUGGUGAUGCAAAUGUCCAUUGCCCUGGAAUGUUUCGGUUAAUCUCUGAUGGUUCUCAGGGCAAUGGGAAUCAACACCAUCAAUCCCCUCAAACACUUCCUUUUCAUUGGCAGUAGCAAAAAUUAUUUGCAGGAUUUCCAGAUCAGUUGUUGCAGAGUGGAAGUUAGAACCUCUUUGUAUGAUUUUAGAUGCCUUUUCUUUUGUUCGUGUAAACAUAAGUAUACCAUUUAUUUAUACACUCUUCAACUAGGAUUAAUUAUAUGGGCUCCUUAUUAAUCGUGAUGGACAAAAAUGCUUUUGCAAUCACUGUUGUGCAAAAAUGCUUUGGCAUUUAAAAACAAAAAUCAAGAGACUAAUUUUAAGAAUAUUUUCUUUCUUAUAUUUCUAGAGAAAUGAUGAACACGCAUCAUUUUUUUCUUUUUAUACUAAUCAUGUCCGUUGUUUUCUUUGAUUUAUUCACUCCAAUGGUUAGAAAUAAAGAGAGGUGUAUAAGAUGUUAAAAAUAAGGGAACUUUAACGAAAAGCACCCGGUACUGUUCACUUUAACGAAAAACCACAUUUUUACACUAAAAAGUCAAUCCUUGUACUAUUCACUUUACCCUUUAUUUUGUCCUUAUCAUUAAAACUCAAAGUUUUCAAGCCCUUUUCAUUAGUUUUCCUUAAAAAUAAUUGUGAAAAUUUCUAGAUGUCUUGAGUGAAUAGUUGUUGGCAUUAAUGUGUUUAUUUAGUGAUAUGAUUGAGUAAACUUAGAGUAGGGUCCCAAUAGGUUUUGGAGAUCAAAUCUUUAUAGAGUUUGUAUUACUUUUAAAGCAAGAAUGCCCAUCAUGAUUAAUAUAAAUAAAGGUAAAACAUCAGGGGGUGACCAUACAAUUCUCAAACACCUUGGCCCUUCUUUCUCUCGGUCGUCCUUGUCUCUCACCCUUCUCAAAGUUAGUAUUACAACACGUUAUCAGGAUGAAAUGUCUCUCUUUGCGAGAAGGAGAGAUCCCCGAAAGAAACCUCACGAAAGCUUUUCACCAUCUUCAUCAACAUCCAAGAAAUUCUAAACCCUAUCUCUUUGGUUUCAAGUUAUUUUAGGCUAUGAAUACUAUGAUUAUUGUUCUACGCUAUAUGCAUUUUAUAUGUUGAUCUAGAUGUGUGGGUAUAUCAAAAAAAUAAAAUAAAAGAAAAGGAUUCCUAAACCCUAAAUUGCAGAAGUUGAUAAAAACAUGCCAAGUCCAAAUCUUAAAUGCCUAAAGCACAUAAAUCAUUCAUAAUACACCUAAGGAAGCUCCAAUAAUUACAUGUUUUUAGAGUUUCGUUAUUGUAAUUCGCAAUGGUUGUGCUAUUAGCACUUAAAUAUCAUGUAAUUACAUUUAUGUUCAAAUCUUAAGCAUAAUAUGAGCUUAAAAUUAAAUUAUUUGUGUGGAACAAAGGAUUUAAACACAAGUCUGCAAGAACAAUUAGUAUUUAACUAGGUUUUAACAUUUAUGUCAAAACUGACAUACGAGUUAAAAACAACUCAAUGAGUCUAGAUUCAAUUAUUACGUUUCCGUGACGAAAAAGACAUACGACUUUUUAAAGAAUUCAAUAUGACCAGAUACGAAUUAAUUGUGUUUCUAAUAUUUAGGUAAAAACCGACAAACUAUUUUAAGACAAAAUUUGCCAUAAUUGAAUAUAGAUAUGAUUAUAGUAGAAUCACAGGUAAACACCGCAUUGGAGCGCACAAUCUGAACUGUACAUCAAUAUAGGCUUCACAUGAAUGUACGACUAAGAUUAACUCUAUAACACGCUGACGACGCUCAUUCGUAACGUACUGCUCACACCGAAAUGGUAAAUUCAGAGAAUCCAAAACCCCAUUAAAUUUAUGCUUUUCCUUGUUGGCUCCACAUGUAAUAGAAUGUUUUAUUGGAUUGAUCUCUUUCCCAGAGUAGAUAGAAAAGUCUAUGGUGUUCAUGCAAAAAAGAACCACCUUUUGAUGAUUAACUCAAAACAAAAUCAUGUUUUGUUCUCAAAGACAAAGCAGAGGUGGUAAGGGUAAUUCGAUGGCGGUUGAACAACUGAAAAUUGGUCGUGAACAAGGAGUGUUUUCUCGGGUCGACGACGAAAUUUUGCAGAACAUUCUGGGGAGGCUACCGGGGGUUGAGUUCUCAUCAGCAGUCGGCGUCAACACAAAUUGGAACAAGAACUUUGGCCAAAUGCUCUCUCGACCCAAAUUUUCUUCUGCCCUUUCUCUUAACCCCGACCUGCACGUAUGUCUUUAAUUACUCUGUUUUACUAAAUGCUCUGUUUUCCUUAAAUACUCUGUUUUCUUAAAAUUCUUUGUUUCCUUAAAUGCUCUGUUUUUUUAAACCUUGGUUGUUCAUUUUUGAAGAAUGCGAUAGAUGAAGUUCUUGACGAGGUUUUCUCUAAAGCCAAUUUGAUUGGACUUCAUUGUCGCAUACAUUGGAACAAAUUUCAGCUUGGAAGAAACUCACCAACUUGUAAAUUUUAGUUUUUUUUUAGCCUUUUUUUUUUGGUAGUUUUUUUAUUUUUUUUAUUUUUUAUUAAUUGUUAUGGCAUCAACAAGCAGAUCACUGAGAAAAUAGGUUGUGGAGUUCCAAUCAUUACCAACAGAACUAUGGGAUUAAUCGGCACUGAUGUCGAAGCUCAUAAUCUGAACGAGGCAUUUUCUUAAUUUUAUGAAAAUUUUAAAGUUUUAAUAACAUUUGGGCACCAAUUAAGAUCAUGUUGUUGAACAUUAUAAUGUUUGUGUAGGUGAACUGGGCUCAGGGUAAUUAUGCACGGAACGCAGAAACGAUCCACCGAGGCAUUGUCGUCUCGGUUGGAUAUGUGCCCGGCUUGAGAGUUGAAGUAUUCCCCCAACCGAGAUGUGAACUUUGUUGCAAUGCUAAGAUCAAUGUUUCUUUUUAUUCAAUCCAAUUGUUAGAAAUAAAGUGAGGUGUAUAAGAUGUUAAAAAUAAUUGUGAAAAUUUCUAGAUGUCUUGAGUGAAGAAUUGUUGUCAUUAAUGUGUUUAUUUAGUAAUAUGAUUGUGUAAACUUAGAGUAGGGUCCCAAUAGGCUUUGGAGAUCAAAUCUUUAUAGAGUUUGUAUUACUUUUAAGGCAAGAAUGCCCAUCAUGAUUAGUGUAAAUAAAGGUAAAACAUCAGGGGGUGACCAUACAAUUCUCAAACACCUUGGCCCUUCUUUCUCUCGGUCGUCCUUGUCUCUCACCCUUCUCAAAGUUAGUAUUACAACACGUUAUCAACACGAAAUGUCUCUCUUUGCGAAAAGGAGAGAUCUCCGAAAGAAACCUUGCGAAAGCUUUUCACCAUCUUCAUCAACAUCCAAGAAAUACUAAACCCUAAUCUCUUUGGUUUCAAGUUAUUUUAUUCUAUGAAUACUAUGAUUAUUGUUCUACGCUAUAUGCAUUUUAUAUGUUGAUCUAUAUGUGUGGGUAUAUCAAAAAAGAAAAAAAGAAAAGGAUUCCAAAACAUUAAAUUGCAGAAGUUGAUAAAAACAUGCCAAUUCCAAAUCUUAAAUGCCUAAAGCACAUAAAUCAUUCAUAAUACACCUAAGUAAGCUCCAAUAAUCACAUGUUUUUAGAGUUUCUUUUUUGUAAUUCGAAAUGAUUAUGCUAUUAACACUUAAGUAUCAUGUAAUUACGUUUAUGUUCAAAUCUUAAGCAUAAUAUGAGCUUAAAAUUAAAUUAUUUGUGUGGAACAAAGGAUUUAAACACAAGCCUAUAAGAACAAUUACUAUUUAACUGGGUUUUAACAAUUUUGUCAAAACCAACAUAUGAGUUAAAAACAACUCAGUGAGUCUAGAUUCGAUUGUUAUGUUAUCAAACAUCCGUGACUAACAACACUUAAGUAUCAUGUAAUUACGUUUAUGUUCAAAUUUUAAGCAUAAUAUGAGCUUAAAAUUAAAUUAUUUGUGUGGAACAAUCUGAACCGUACAUCAAUCGGCACUGAUGUCGAAACUCAUAAUCUGAACGAGGCAUGUUCUUAAUUUUAUGAAAAUUUUAAAGUUUAGUUAAUAACAUUUGGGCACCAAUUAAGAUCAUGUUGUUGAACAUUGUAAUGUUUGUGUAGGUGAACUGGGCUCAGGGUAAUUCUACACGGAACGCAGAAACGAUCCACCGAGGCAUUGUCGUCUCGGUUGGAUAUGUGCCCGGCUUGAGAGUUGAAGUAUUCCCCCAACCGAGUCCAAGACAUGUGAGCUUUGUUGCAAUGCUAAGAUCAAUGUUUCUUUUUAUUCAAUCCAAUUGUUAGAAAUAAAGUGAGGUGUAUAAGAUGUUAAAAAUAAUUGUGAAAAUUUCUAGAUGUCUUGAGUGAAGAAUUGUUGUCAUUAAUGUGUUUAUUUAGUAAUAUGAUUGUGUAAACUUAGAGUAGGGUCCCAAUAGGCUUUGGAGAUCAAAUCUUUAUAGAGUUUGUAUUACUUUUAAGGCAAGAAUGCCCAUCAUGAUUAGUGUAAAUAAAGGUAAAACAUCAGGGGGCGACCAUACAAUUCUCAAACACCUUGGCCCUUCUUUCUCUCGGUCGUCCUUGUCUCUCAUCCUUCUCAAAGUUAGUAUUACAACACGUUAUCAACACGAAAUGUCUCUCUUUGCGAGAAGGAGAGAUCUCCGAAAGAAACCUUGUGAAAGCUUUUCACCUUCUUCAUCAACAUCCAAGAAAUACUAAACCCUAAUCUCUUUGGUUUCAAGUUAUUUUAUGCUAUGAAUACUAUGAUUAUUGUUCUACGCUAUAUGCAUUUUAUAUGUUGAUCCAUAUGUGUGGGUAUAUCAAAAAAGAAAAAAGAAAAGGAUUCCAAAACACUAAAUUGCAGAAGUUGCUAAAAACAUGCCAAUUCCAAAUCUUAAAUGCCUAAAGCACAUAAAUCAUUCAUAAUACACCUAAGUAAGCUCCAAUAAUCACAUGUUUUUAGAGUUUCUUUUUUGUAAUUCGAAAUGAUUGUGCUAUUAACACUUAAGUAUCAUGUAAUUACGUUUAUGUUCAAAUCUUAAGCAUAAUAUGAGCUUAAAAUUAAAUUAUUUGUGUGGAACAAAGGAUUUAAACACAAGCCUAUAAGAACAAUUACUAUUUAACUGGGUUUUAACAAUUUUGUCAAGACCAACAUAUGAGUUAAAAACAACUCGGUGAGUCUAGAUUCAAUUAUUACGUUAUCAAACAUCCGUGACUAACAACACUUAAGUAUCAUGUAAUUACGUUUAUGUUCAAAUUUUAAGCAUAAUAUGAGCUUAAAAUUAAAUUAUUUGUGUGGAACAAUCUGAACCGUACAUCAAUCGACACUGAUGUCGAAACUCAUAAUCUGAACGAGGCAUGUUCUUAAUUUUAUGAAAAUUUUAAAGUUUGGUUAAUAACAUUUGGGCACCAAUUAAGAUCAUGUUGUUGAACAUUGUAAUGUUUGUGUAGGUGAACUGGGCUCAGGGUAAUUCUGCACGGAACACAAAAACGAUCCACCGAGGCAUUGUCGUCUCGGUUGGAUAUGUGCCCGGCUUGAGAGUUGAAGUAUUCCCCCAACCGAGUCCAAGACAUGUGAGCUUUGUUGCAAUGCUAAGAUCAAUGUUUCUUUUUAUUCAAUCCAAUUGUUAGAAAUAAAGUGAGGUGUAUAAGAUGUUAAAAAUAAUUGUGAAAAUUUCUAGAUGUCUUGAGUGAAGAAUUGUUGUCAUUAAUGUGUUUAUUUAGUAAUAUGAUUGUGUAAACUUAGAGUAGGGUCCCAAUAGGCUUUGGAGAUCAAAUCUUUAUAGAGUUUGUAUUACUUUUAAGGCAAGAAUACUCAUCAUGAUUAGUGUAAAUAAAGGUAAAACAUCAGGGGGUAAAGUGGAAGAGGGAAGACUAGGGAGGCCACCACAAACCCUUAACCCUGACAUCGGCUCUUUGAUGAAUUUACACCCAAAUUCCUUCAAAUUCUAGGUGGAUAUGGAAGAGGGAAGACUAGGGAGUAGUUUCUAGGUAGUGGUUUGCUUUAAUUCGUCGGAAAAUGGUCAAAUUUGGCUGUGGCUUUCUUCGAGUCACGCGGGUCAUGGGAUGACUCGUUUUCCCCCUUCAUUUUCUCUUUUCCUCCUUUCCCUCCUUUCUUCUCUUUCUGAUUUGGUAGUUUCUUCCUCUCCCCUCUCCCAAUUCGUCCAUCUCCCUCCUGUGCUCUCUUCCUCCCCUCUCCUUUCUUCCUUCCUUUCCAAAAGCUCAUUGGUUCUUCCUCCCAUAAGAUGGGAGUUCCAUUUAAUUAACACUAAACUUAAAAUAACCAAUUUCGAAUGUUCGUAACUAUACCGAUAUAAACUGGACUUGUAAACGGCUUUCGCCUAUGUGUUCGUACCAACGAAUACUACACAAAUACGCUAAAGGAAUAAGUCUUACGUUUCUCUAGACGAUGGCCAAUGCAAGUCAAAGUCCUUACCUCUAGGGUAUUUUCGUAAAUUCAUGCUUUUAAAAUUAAUAAAAACGUACAAUUAGGGACGGGUUGUCACAAUUUCAAUCUUAAACAAACAAACAAGAAAAAAAACUUCAAAAACUCUAAUUUUAAAGUUUCAUUUGAAUAUAUAGCAUUAUUAAAUAAUAAAAUUGAAAAAAAAAAGAAACCUUUUUUCAACGUGUUGUCAUUGACACUCCAUGUAUCUCAUUAUGCAUUCCAAAUUUUAAUACUUAGAAAGAAAAGAAUUUACACAUAUAAAAACUACACAAUGAUAUUUUAAAGUGCUAAUAAAAGUAAAUUUUUUAAUAUAUAGAACUAUUACAUAUAAAUAUUAGAUGACAAAAAUUUGGAGGUCCUUUAAAAUUGAGGCAUGUGUGAUUGCACUUUUUGCUCGCUCCAAUGCCCCCUUUGAUUUACACACACACCCCAUCUAUGUUUGUGUUUGAAAUUUGUAACAGGGGAUAUGGGCACUUCAUUCUUGUUGAUGGUGUGGGAAUCCAACCCGACGACGUCUUCUUCUUCUACCAUUCAGAUGCUGCAACUGCAUUGAACACCAUUGAUUAUGCAUCUGAUAACCUUCAAACUUUUGUCCAUAAUGAUUCCGAAAUCCAGCCAGAGGUGUUCGGAGGGUUUAUCUUCUCCAGCAAGAAACGCGGCGCGUUGAUGUUCGAUAGACCUAAUGUUGAUUGUAAGCCGUUUGCUGACAACUUCCCAGGAGUUCCGGUAGCCAGAAUGUUUGGCAAUAAGGAGAUCGCGUGUGGUGAAGAAGAAGAUAAUGAACUCGAUCAUCCUCGUUCUGUCCAUGCUUGUAGCUCUAUGUACUUGGCCAUGAAUUAUGUUCCUCCCCAAGCUCCAUAUUACUUGAAGGAGUAGAUGUUUGGUUGGUUUUCUCCCAUUGAAAAAGAAUAAAGUUCGUUGUUUUUGUUGGGGUGUUGGGCAUAAGUUGGUGUGUUUGUGUUGUCAUAUGUUGUAAGUGUUAGUGUAAACACGAAAUUUUCUUGAAACAAACGAGACAAGAACACGUGUACAAAAUAAUAUUUUGUAUUAAUGAUAGGGGUUACAAUCUCUCUCAAAUUUGAUCCUCUGAUUCGAUCUCCGUAAGGUGUUGAUUUGUGGAUUGUGAUGCUGAUCCAAGGGCCGUCGAGGCUUGACCUCAGAUGAAUGGUUGGAAGUUUCUUCAAGAGGGCCUUUUAGGCUUGAUCUUGAAGGUUGAUUGAUGAACGGAUCUUCAAGGGCUUUUGGGCUUGAUCUGAAGAACUGUUGAUGAACGGAUCUUCAAGGGGCCUUUUGAGGCUUGAUCUUGAUGAACAUUUGAUGGAUGGAUCUUCAAGGGCUUUUGGGCUUGAUCUUGAAGAACUGUUGAUGAACGGAUCUUCAAGGGCCUUAGGGGCUUGAUCUUGAUGAACAGCUGAUGAAUGGAUCUUCAAGGGCUUUUGGGCUUUAUCUUGAAGAAUGGUUGGAUGUGUGGAUUUGUUGAUGUUGUUGAUCCAAAGGGCCAUUGAGGCUUGAUCUUAGAAUGAACGGAUGAUGAACGAUAAACGCCUUAUUAAAGGUCGUCGGGGCUUGAUCUUGAAUUGGUGGAAGUUCCUUCAAAUGGCUGUUGGGGCUUGAUCUUGAAGGUUGGGUUGACGAAGAAUGAAGAGAGCUUUCUUGAUCAUUCGGGAUUUGCUUGGGAGCUUUGGAGUUUCAAAGCUUCAAGGUUUUGGUGUGAGGUGAAUUGAUUAUGAAUUGGUUUUCCGAAUUCCCCCAAAAUGAAUGAAAUGGCUUAUAUUUAUAGAAUUUUCCAAGGCCUAAUUUUGAAUAUAAUAUGCAGAUGAAAUAAAUCGUUUCUGCCAAGUGUUGACAUGUGUCCUAUUUGAUGACUUUUUCGAUUUAUUUUGAUUUUUUGUUUAGUCACACGCUACGUGUAAAAUUUAUGUGAAACGUGAGCGUUGAAAUUGUAACUAUUGGUCAACAUUUAUUUCAUCGAAAUUUCGAUGUCUACAAAUGCCCUCACUUCAAGGCGCGUCGUAUACAUGUGCUUGUCACGUGUAGGAGAUGCGUUUUGAAGUCCCUUAGUGUAGAUGUCGAUCCAAGGGCCAUCGAGGCUUGAUCUUGAAUUGGGCUGGAGAUUUCUUUAAGGGCCGUUGAAGCUUGAUCUUGAAUUGGGCUGAAAGUUUAUUCAAGGGUCGUUGAUGCUUGAUCUUGAGGGUUGAAAUUGGACCACAAGGAGCUUCAUGUGGUAGAUGAUCUUUGGCUUUGGUAGUGGAUGAAUUGGCACGUAUUUGUUUUUGCGCUUGUUGACUUUCCACAGCUUUGAUCUUGAACUGGGUUGGAGAAUUUUCUGGAUUCCUCAAAUUGUUGACUUUCCUCAGCUUAUUCUUAAACUGGAUUUGAUUCAAGGGUGGUGGACGCUUGAUCUUGAAUCGGACUUGUGAUUUCCUCAAGGGCCAUCGAGGCUUGAUCUUGAAUUUGGCUGGAAGCUUCUUCAAGGGUUGUUGAGGCUUGAUUCUUGAAGGUUGACUCGAACACAUGGCAAGCAGGCAUGAGGUGAAGGUGAUGACUUGUUGCUUUGUUCAAUCUUUCUAAUUCACACCUGAGCAGUUUAGUCAACGGUAUGAUCUUCAAGAUUGAUGGGCUCUUUUUCCAGUUGGUGACUUGAUCUUUAAGGAUUUGAUUCAAGGGUGGUGAAUCGGCACGUGCAGCCCACAACGCCUAGCGAGUCGACCCAAGAAUUUGAGGGUCAAAAUGAGUCCUCCACCCAUAGUGAUUGCAACCUUGAUGAUAUGAGAUACUUUUGAUUUUGAAGCAGUAGCGGAUGAAUCGGCACGUGCUUUGUUGUGCUUGUCUCCACAUGCUUCAAUGUAUCAUUUUCCCUUGCCUUAUCUGUUCUCUAGGCAAAUGUGGCAUCUUCUCGAGUUCCUCAACUCAGACUCAUUCUGCUGAGUUGACUGUGCAGGCUGCAUUCUUCUCUGCUUGUUUCUUCUGCAUGUUGUCUCCACAUGCUGCAAGGUAUCAUUUUCACUUGCCUUAUCUAUUCUUCAAGCAAAUGUGGCAGCUUUUUUGGAAGUACAAUAGCAGUGGAAGAAGAGUACUUGAGAGCAAUACCAUGUAAGCAACCAGGUAAAGGUUCCAGGUAGUCGAUUCCUUACCUGAGUUUGAGUGGAGGUUCCGACAUAUUGUUUUCUUUAUCCUUGUCUUUGCAGGUAAGAACAAGGACAAAGGAAAUGACAAGGAGAACGCAUGAUAUGAGAUACUCUUGCUUUAUACCCUGAUGAUAUGAGAUACUUUUGUUUUGGUGUCAUUUGUUUGUAGAGGUACCCCAAGGAAUAAGGAACACUGAGUGACUCGAGAGGCUUCGUUGGGAAAGUAUUCUCGGAGAUGAAGAAAGGUUCUGUAUGUUUGCCUUGCUAUGAAGGGUGAAGGUUGACAUUUAUAUGGAUUAAUAACCGGUACUGUUCUUUCACUCUUGUCGGCAACCGUUGGAUGAUUUAACGGUAAACUUCACGUGCUUUCUACUUCACAAGAAAUCUUCGACAGAAUUUCUGCAAGACUGAGUGUGCAUGUGACAGGCGCUGACAUGUCUGGAAAAGCAGAUGCCUCUCCGAUUUCUGAUCUUGCCUCUUCGAGUUCUGAGCUCGCCUCUUCGACUUCUGAGCUUCUUCGAGUGCAGAGGUUACAUGUGACAGGUGCGGACAAAUCUGGAAAAGAAGAUUGGCCCGUGGUUCUGAGCAAGCCCAGCUUUUGAGAAAGCUUGCGCCUCUUCGAUUUUUGAAUUCGCCUCUUCGAUUUCUGAACUUGCCUCUUCGAUCUCUAAAAUCCCGUCGAGUGUUGAUUUUUAUAUAGGCACGCAGUACGUUUUAGCACACUUGAAUUUCUGCCUGUAGAAACUCCCUUCUUGCACUUCUACGAUCUUGACUUGUCCGACCUCUUCUUUCUUCAACACCUUUGAAAAUGUCUGACCCCUCCGACCGUCGUUUUGACUUGAACCUUGAUGAAGAGGCAGUCCCGCCUUCUUCAGACAACAUAUGACGCCCAUCCUUCAUAUCCCUUACUGGUCCUCUUACCGUUGGGGAUUCGGUGAUGAAGAAUGAUAUGACCGCUGCGGUGGUGGCCCGGAACCUUGUCAUUACCAAAGAUAACAUACUGUUUUCCAAAUGGUCUAAUGAGUUGGCUGUUAAGGAUUCUCUGGAUCUUAGUGUGCAGUGUGCAUGUUCUGUGUCUAAUAUGGCCCAACGUCUAUUUGCUCGAACCCGUCAAGUUGAAUCAUUGGCGGCUGAAGUGAUGAUUCUCAAACAGGAGAUUAGAGGGCUCAAGCAUGAGAAUAAACAGUUGCACAGGCUCGCACAUAACUAUGCUACAAACAUGAAGAUGAAGAUUGACCAGAUGCAGGAAUCUGAUGGUCAGAUUUUACUUGAUCAUCAGAGGUUUGUGGGUUUGUUCCAAUAGCAUUUGCCUUUGUCUUCUAGGGCUGUACCGCGUAAUGAAGCUCCAAAUGAUCAACCUUCGGUGCCUCCUCCUCCUGGGGUUUUGCCUAGUACUGAGACUCUAAAUAAUCACCCUUUAGUGCCUCCACCUUCUGGAGCUCCGCCGAGUACUGAGACACCACCUGAGCAAUGAAGACUCCCUCCCGUUUGUUUGCACAUUUUUUUUUGUAAUUUUUUUUUCAUGUAAACGUACGUUAUUGUAAUUUUUAGAGAAAUCAAUAAACGAGCUUUGUUUCACUCAGUGUACAUUUUUUUUUCACAUGGUGUCAAAAGCACCAAAGGACUCUAUGAUUACUUUUUUUUCACAUGGUGUCGUCCACCAUCAUUUUUUUUUUGCUUUCGGUGGUGCUCACACCCACCACCAUCAUGAACCCUUCAACUUUUAUUUUUAAUUUUUUUAUUAUAUAUUUUUUAUUUAUAUAUAUAUAUAUAUAUAAUUUUUUUUCUGUCUGCUUUCGAUGUCAGAUGCACCCUUUUUUUUUUCACGUGGUGCCAGUACCACUUUGCUCCACUAUCUCAUUUUUUUAUUAUAUAUAUUUUUUGUAUAAAUUUUGAUGAUGGGUGAGGAAUUUGCAAGGAGCGGAGCAAGGAGGCUGAGAAGAUUGUGCUUCGAGCUUCACGACCGGCUAGUCGUUUGAUGGCGGUCGUUGAAGUUCUUUGUUAUCAUGGUGGUCAUAGUGACGAGCUCGAGGGAGGCUAGGCGCUGCGAUGGAAGAUGGGCAGAGAUGCAUGAUGGCAGAGCUUUGUGGAAGAGAUGGAGCACGAUGUGGGUGCAAGGUCGUUUGACAGCGGUCUUUGAUGUUGUUGGCAGCUGCGAGGCAAGAGACGGAAGAGGUCUUUGGGUGUGUAUUAAUAAACUUUGGUUUUAUCAAUCUCAUUCAAAGGCAGCAGCCAUGGCGGAGGUGCAAAGGAAGAAGCUUUACCACUACCUUUACUGAGCACAGCCACUGAGCACAACCAUUGCACUGCCUGCCGAGCACAACCAUUACACACCCGUUGCACUGCCACUAAGCAUGGCCACUGAGCAUAGCUACUGACCAUAGGCAUAGAGCACAACCACUGCCCGUUGCACUGCCUGCCAUCGCGGAGGAAGGCGAAAGAGAGAGUAUGAAGGUCAUUGGGUGUGAGUUGGCAAACUUUGGUUUUGUCAAUCACAUUCAAAGGCAGCAGUCAUAGCAGAGAGCUGGAGCUUGCGCUGUUGUUGUGGAGACCGAAUCAAUUGUUACUAAGCAUGAGUAGAACCAGGCUGCUGUUGAUUUGAAGUGGUGGGCAUGGCUCGAGGUAGAGAGAGGAGGAGGAUGCAGAGCUGGUGGAAACUAUAUAGUGGGCUGACCUGGAGCGAAGCAUCCUCGCUGGGCAAAAGGAGUGGGAGAGCCUAGUGGUGAUGAAAGUCCUGCUCGUGACUAGCUGCUGUGACAAUGGCUGCUCUUUGCUCGCUGUUGUGGAGGAAGGUUGAGCUUCACAUGCUGCAAGGGACCAGAGACUGUACUUGGAAGGACCGUCUUGUAGCUACUGCUGUGCUUCACCGCCACCUCACUGCUUGCUGCCCGUUACCUCCUGAAAUUGGUGGUGUAGAGAGGGUGGCUACCAGUGCAGGUUCGAAAGGAAGGAUCGCAGCUGUCUUUGGAGGAAGAGCGGGGAAGAACGAGAUGACGGUUAAGCAACCUGAGAACGCUCGACCUGAGUUACAACCUCAUCGUCGGAGCAAUCUUUUCCUCUUCAAGGCCUUGUUCAUCACCACAGCAACUUCCAGGCUCAACAACAACAUCUUCAUACAACAAAGUAGAAGAAGAAGAGGACAAUGAGAAGCAUGGACGGAGAGCACUGAACAAUCCAAUCGUCAUGGAAGUCGAAGCUCAAGAAUCCAAUUCCCAAAACGAUGUCGUCGUCAGUUUCUCCUGCGAGAUCACAUCUACAUCGAAGCAAGAAGCUAUCUUCUUCGUUGAAUCCCACAACUGGAACCUUGAUGCUGCCGUUUCCACAUUUCAGGACAACAAUGCCGCCGUCCUCGCCGCUGCUGUCGAGCUCGGAGUCGAGAAUCACGCUGCUGGUGCUGACGUUGCUGAUGAUGUUGAGACCGAAUCAAAUGUUGUUGAGCAGGAGAAGCACACCAACCUUCGAACCCAAGACCCUCCACUUGAGCGGAGCAUGGAAGCCAGUUGUGGUGCAGCGACGAUGGUGUUCACAGAUCUUAGAUCUGAGAAUGAGCAAUCGAAGUUGGCGUUGGUGUCGAGGCCAAAUAUGGUGAGUACGAGGUUGGUGAGGAAGGACACGGGUCCAGUGGUUGCUAGAAUUAGGUUGCGCAGGUGCUAAAGAAAACGGAGGAAGCAGAGUGGCGUUGUCUUGUUCAGUGGGCUCCUCGAGGAAGUUGAGAUCCUCGUCCUCGCCGUCGGUUGGGUGCGAGCCUUUGCAGAGAACCGAGUUGACUCGCCAUUCUUUGAAUGCAAGAGAGAAAGUGCAGUUGCAGUUAAUAUAUAUAUAUAUAUAUAUACACACACACAUAUAUUGUGCAAACUGUAUUUUUUUUAAUUAUUAUUUUAAUUUUUAUUAUUAAUUUUUAUUUUUUAUUUUUUUAUAAAGAAUUAUUGUAUAAAAUUGACUCUCAAUAGUCAAACAUUUUAAUCAAACCUUAUUUUUUUAUUUUGAUGUGACUGAACUCGAAAUUGGAUGUUCGAGCUUCCUACGUACCCCUCCAAAGAAGAGAUCAAGUAUUAACAUAGUUCAAAUACUUUUUUUUUUUGGUGCCGUACGCAGUUUAUGCUCUUGCGGGCCAGGAGCGUCUUGAUGCCGUUUGCAGUUUCAACUCAUGCAGGUAGGGAACAUUGGUGUUGCCUUUUAUGCUCAUGCAAGCCAGGAGCUUAGUGCCAUGCAGUUUAGGCUCGUGCAGGCGAGGAGCCUCGUGUCCUAUAGUUUAGGCUCGUGCGGACAAUGAGCUUUGGUUCGUGCAGUUUAGGGUCGUGCGAACAAGGAGCAUUGGUGUCACCUUUUAUGCUCAUGCAAACAAGGAGCAUUAAUGUCGCCUUUUGUGCUCGUGCGGACCAGGAACGUUUUGGUGUUGCCUUUUAUGCUCGUGCAGACCAGGAGCUUUGGUGUCCUGCAGUUUAGGCUCUUGUGGACAAGGAGCAUUGGUGUUGCCUUUUAUGCUCGUGCAGACUAGGAGCUUUGUGCCAUGCAGUUUAGACUCAUGCGGGCGAUGAGAAUUGGUGAAUUUGUCAAGCAAUUUUGAAGAGGUGUUCCUCACAAUCUUCAUAGCAAUGAGCCUUAACCGAGUGAUUGAAGAAGUCUUCGAGCAAGAAGUCGCGCAUCGUGAUGGCAACAUACGAUCUUUGUGUCACAAUUUCAUCAUCUUCAACACUUUCAUGUAGCCUUAGAGGUUGACGAGAGCUGCUUUGCCCCAUUUCCAAUUGGUGAACUUGUGGAGGAAACGUAUGCUUCUUGUGCAGUUUCUUUGGAGUAACAUGCGUCCAUCCCUCAACUUUACUUUGCUUGACUGGCAUGGUUUUGGAGCAUGCCCCCAACGAUUGAGGUGAAGAUUUUGAGUCGACAGAGCCAUAAGUGAUGGUGGUAUAAUUUGACUUCACCACAUCGUCAAGAUCUAGCUCAAUGAUUCCUUUCUGAGCCAACUUCAUGAUGAGAUCUUUCAGUACGAAGCACUUUUCCGUUGGAUGACUUAUGAAAUGGUGGACUUUACAAUACCUUGGACUGUCAGUACGAUUCAUCUCUUCCGGCCGUCUGCACUCAGGUAAGUCAAUCACCUUUUUGUCAAGCAAGUUUUUUAACAUGGCAACCACAUCAGAGUCUGGGAAUGGAUAAGUCUUAUCCUCAAGCUCCUUCAAAGUACGUCUACGCAUCUCUUGAUCACGAAAAGCUUCGGCUUGAAUUGCCUUGCCUAGUGUAGAGAUUUUGACGGGAGUUAUGUUGACCGUCAUUGCUUCCUUGGUGGAUUUCCACGCAGCCUUUUCCACCUUUGUCCCAAGAACUUUGUCAUUCUUGUAGUCGGUGAUCGAUUCAUUUAUUUGAGUCAAUUGUUCUUCAAUUGAGGUAACGCCGAUGGUCAUGACUUGUACAACCAAUAGACGUGACUUUCCUUUAGACAUCCAGGAUGCUGACGAAGAACGUCGUUUGCUGCUUUGGGAUGUCAUCUUGUGUGCCUCAGCAGCAUGCUUCGGUGCCCCCAGCGAGGUCAGGUUAAUGACGGACUCACGCAUUUGAUGCUCCCCUUGCUCCUUUAGCGGCACCAACUUUGAAGUGGCAUGUUAAGGAGCGGUUGUGGUGCCAAUGGAUUGUCCAUUCGCGGCAGAAGUGCUCAGGAUCCUUCCCUUAGUGGUUGCGAGAACGGCUUGUCCCUUGCUUGAUGCCAUUGACUUUGAGGUGUGUUUUGGAUUCCUUAAACGGAGAAAGAGAUGAGAGGUAGAGAUUGUCCCACUGGGCGUGCCAAAUUUGUAAACACGAAAUUUUCCUGAAAUAAACUAGACAAGAACACGUGUACAAAAUAAUAUUUUGUAUUAAUGAUUUAGGGGUUACAAUCUCUCUCAAAUUUGAUCAUCUGAUUCGAUCUCCAUAAGGUGUUGAUUUGUGGAUUGUGAUACUGAUCCAAGGGCCGUCGAGGCUUGAUCUCGGAUGAAUGGUUGGAAGUUUCUUCAAGAGGGUAUUUUGGGCUUGAUCUUGAAGGUUGAUGGAUGAACGGAUCUUCAAGGGCUUUUGGGCUUGAUCUUGAAGAACUGUUGAUGAACGGAUAUUCAAGGGGCCUUUGAGGCUUGAUCUUGAUGAACAGUUGAUGGAUGGAUAUUCAAGGGCUUUUGGGCUUGAUCUUGAAGAACUGUUGAUGAACGGAUCUUCAAGGGCCUUUGGGGCUUGAUCUUGAUGAAUAGCUGAUGAAUGGAUCUUCAAGGGCUUUUAGGCUUUAUCUUGAAGAAUGGUUGGAUGUGUGGAUUUGUUGAUGUUAUUGAUCCAAAGGGCCGUUGGGGCUUGAUCUUAGGAUGAACGGAUGAUGAACGAUGAACGCCUUCUUCAAGGGUCGUCGGGGCUUGAUCUUGAAUUGGUAGAAGUUCCUUCAAAUGGCCGUUGGGGCUUAAUCUUAAAGGUUAGGUUGAUGAAGAACGAAGAGAACUUUCUUGAUCUUUCGGGAUUUGCUUGGGAGCUUUGGAGUUUCAAAGCUUCAAGGUUUUGGUGUGAGGUGAAUUGAUUAUGAAUUGGUUUUCCGAAUUCCCCCAAAAUGAAUAAAUGGCUUCUAUUUAUAGAAUUUUCCAAGGCCUAAUUUUGAAUAUAAUAUGCAGAUGAAAUAAAUCGUUUCUGCCAGUUGUUGACAUGUGUCCUAUUUGAUGACUUUUCCGAUUUAUUUUGAUUUUUCGUUUAGUCACACACUACGUGUAAAAUUUAUGUGACACGUGAGCGUUGAAAUUGUAACUAUUGGUCAACAUUUAUUUCACCGAAAUUUCAAUGUCUACAGUUAGAUCCCACAUCGUUCAGGGAAGUGGAUCCUCUAUGCCUUGUAUGUACAUGCCCAUCUCUUCCUAAUAUGAGGCCUUUUGGGAACUCACUGACUUUAGGUUCCAUCGGAACUCCGAAGUUAAGCGAGUUUGGGUGAGAGCGGUCCUAGGAUGGGUGACUCAUUAGGAAAUUCUGUUUGCGUGAGUUCUCUGGAUCCCAGGUUGGGAUGUGAUAAUUUGGUAUCAGAACCAAUCCAUGGGCGGCCGAAAGUGUGCCAACGAGGACGUCGGGCCCCUAAAGGAGGUGGAUUGUUAGAUCCCACAUCGCCUAGGGAAGUGGAUCAUAUAUGCCUUAUAUGUACAUGCUCACCUCUUCCAAACACAAGGUCUUUUGGGAACUCACUGGUUUCGGGUUCUAUCGGAACUCCGAAGUUAAGCGAGUUCGAGUGAGAGUGGUCCUAGGAUGGAUAACCCACUGAGAAGUUCUGCUCGCGUGAGUCCCCGAAACAAAACCGUGAGGACGUGGUCGGGACUCAAAGCGAACAAUAUUGUGCUAUGACGGACAAUAAUGUGAUGAAGCCCGGAUCGGUAGGUGACACUAAGUCUUUUGAUUAAGUACUAGGUCUAGGGCAAGCAUUUCACUAUGGCUUAUGUAGUCAAAUAAGAAGUGCUUGUAGAGUUGAUAAUUAGUAGGGUUAUGUUUAUGAUGUUUGUUACAAAUUUAAGAAAAAGUGGUACAAUUACUUGAUGUGUAUUUUUUUGCUUAAUUUUAUGGCUAACAGUUUGUAACACAUAGGCUUUUAUAAUUCGUCUUGUGUAAAUUAGCUUUGAAAUAUCCGACAAUUUCUGUAGGAAAAAAUUAUCAGCCUUAUUUGGCUUGUGAUAUUAGUUAUAUAUAGGAUGAAUUGAAGAAGAUCAACAGAUAUAAAUUAUCAAGAGGUGUGUGAGAAGUAAAAUGAGGAGUGUGGAUAGUACACUCCUGUAUAUAAAGUUGAUUUUGACCAACCCGUCUCAGAGUCAGAUUCUCUCUCUUACAUUAAUGUAAAAGAAUAUAAAUUCUUUUCGGAUCCUCUUUGUGAGAAUUCUGAAAAUUUUCAAAUUAUGUCUGUUUAUCCUACAUCGUGCAUCAUAAAUUAUUUUAAAUACUUUUAUUUAAAAUUAAACAUGAAUAUUUUCUGACGAAAACUGAUCGCACGAUAUUUAAAGAACAUACACAAUUUGAGAAUCUCCGAAUCCUUACACAGAAGAUUGUCAAUCAAUGUAAAAUAUCAACGGUAUUAAAAUAAUAAAAACAAAAUUAAUAAAAUAAAUAAAGUGAGAAAAUUACCGCUAUGUUCGAUUUUUCCAACCAAACAAAGGAUGUGUUCGAUUUUUCCAACCAAACAAAAUGGAAGAAAACAUGCAGACACCAAAGCUUCAGACUUUUACAACUACUUGAGACUUGAGACUCUGAAAGUCGGCAUCUUUACGAAACAAGCAGCUGUCCGAUGGACGGGGCAUCGUCGUCGGCGGCGGCGAUAAAAACCGACACAAAACGGCCCCAAACGGCGGCGGCAGGGUUGUUUUCGCCGAUAAACGACGACCUUCUCCACAACAUCCUCUCGCACCUACCCGCCUUAUCCUUCGCAUCAGCGGCGUGCGUUAGCAAAUCCUGGAACCAAAUCUGCAGCCGAAUCCUCACUCGCCCGAAGCUCGCCUCCGCCCUCUCUCUCCACCCCUCGCCUAAGGUUGGUUUAGAGAGUCUAGACCCCUGUUUGGUCUCCGAGAAAAUAACAAGCUCAAAUUUUGUCGCACAUUUUCUCAAUUUUUGUGUUGCAAUUGAUAGGUUGCAGUGAAGGAGGUUAUCGAGAAGGUUCUAGCUGAGCCUAUACGGCCUCAUUUUGUUGUAGCUAAUAUUGGAAGUGGGUUUGGAUUGUAUGACAUUUCCAAGCUGCUCUUAUAAACCCCUUAAUCCUAAUUAGUAUAUGAUUGGAUACAUUUGAAUUAAGAGAAGCAAAUUAUGGAUUUUUUUAUUUUGUUCUAUGUUUGAAAUUGCAGAUAUCGAAAAAAUUGGGGUCCAGUAUUCCAUUCAUCAUUUCUACUUCAAGUGGAAUAUUUGGAAGAGAUGCUCUUACCCAUGAAUUCAAAGAGGUUUCGUGGUUGUGUUUUUCGGGUUUGCCGGGUUUUUGUUCAUUAGUUUGCAGCAAGUUUAUGUCUUUACUGAUUUCAGAUGAAAUGUGAUUGUUUAGGUUAAGUGGGGAGAGGUUUGUGGUGAUGGACGUGAUGAAGAUUGCUCUAUACCAACAAAGGAUGCGAACUACGGCAUCCUUUUGACUGUUGGCUUUGUGCCAGGAUUGAAAGUUGAUGCCAUCCCGCUGUUACGAACAAUAAAGGUGCCAAAUUUUACAGUAUAACUACAAAUCUGAUUUCUUUAAGAAUUCCACAGCGGAAUUUCAAAUGAGGGAAACUUAGGGCACACAGUCUUUGGUUUUUAUUGUCGUUUUUGGGAAUUUGUAGAAUCUUUCAAGCUCUUUCUGCAGUUUGAAUAAUGGAUUUUCUUGAUACAUAAAUAGUUUCUAAUGAUAUCAGGAUCCUCGAGAAGUCUUGCUUGAUAAAUUCAUCAUGGAUAUUAAGGAUUACACAGCCUCUGUUUCAGAUUGCACGUCCCCGGUUGGAAUUAUGAUGUUUGGAGUGAGUGGCUGUCCUCAUACUUUAUUGCCUCUUUAUUUCACUCCUUCUUUCUUUCUUUUCAAUCAGAUGUAGCUUCCCUUUGCCGCAUUGCUAACAUGUAAAUGAUUAAUGGUACAGGAUGGGCUUCGUGACAUGAAACCGAUUGUUUGAUGCAUUGGGUGAGUAGUGAGUCCUGAGGACAUAAUAAAUAAAAACAAGAAUCAUUUAUUUACCGCUCGAAACAUUAGGGAGAUAAGCUGCUGCUUUCAGAUUAUGGGCUGGUUUGGUAUUGCUGUGCUUUGAAAAAAAAGCUGCUGUGAGAAUAAGCGGCUGUGUUGUGAGAAUAAGCGGCUGUGAAAUAAAUCAGCAGAGUGUUUGGUAAACUUUUUUGUAAAAGUGCUUUUGGAAAAAAAAAAAAAGCAGUCUAAUAGUGGGUCUUUUCAUUAAAGAAGCACUGUAGCUUCGUGUGCUUUGAAAAAAAGCCAGUUUUCCAAAGCUGCAAAUAGCAGCUUCAGCUUUUUCCUUUGAUUUCAGCUUAUUCUCACAGCAGUUUCCAAAAUAAGCCAUUUUUUUUUCAGUUUACCAAACACCUAAAACCCUCACAGCUUUUUUUCAUGGGUGCUUUUUUUUUAAGCACCUCACUCCCAAACUAGGUCUAUGUGUUGUGAUAAACUUUUAUGUUGCAUGCUCAUGCUGGGACUCAAUUUUUGUUGAUUAUAUCUCAAUGUCUCAAUUUGUUGCAGAUUAUGCUAUGCCUGCGGAAACUGUCAUUGUGGGUGAUGAGAGAUGUCGCAUUUUAUAUAGAAGUGAGAAUGAGUCUAGAAAUGUCUGUGGGAAUGCAAAAUACUUUACCGAUGCUGUUGCUCUUAUAUUUGCCAAGGAUAAAGACAAGCCACAUGGUAAGUAUUUGGUUUAUUCAUUUAUACAGCAUCGUUUUUCCCCCUUGUUUCCAGCAUAGGUUUCUGUUCAAAUAGCUACUUGCAUGCCUUCAGAAGUGUCAGAUACAAAGUAAAGAAAGAAAUAAAAGGCACAUAUCACUUCUCGAUAGGGCCUUCCAAUAUCAGAGCCACUUCAGAUGCAGUCUAUUUUGCAAUCUCCCUAGAAGAUUUGAAACACAUCAAGAUGUAUUCAUUUGUGAACUAGUCCUUUUCGUGUUUAAUGUUUUUUUUUCCUAGGUAAACAUGUUUAAUGCUUUCAUGCUUUAUAAAAUUUCUUUCAGUUUCAAACUUUCAAUUACAGUAUAUCUCCAAAUUUUGGAACCAUGUUUUAUCAAAAUUGAAUAACUUUUAAGGGUUCUCAUAUUUGAGAGAUGCAUGCUGAUCUUUAAUUUUCACAAGUGAAGAUUUUUCAUCUCUCUUUCAUGCAUAGCUUUUUCCAAAUUUUUUCUUAUUUUAUGAGUGCACUUUCAGAUAUAUCAUAUGCCUCAUUAUGCACUCGUAAGGUUUCAUACACAUUUGCUUCUGUUUUUUCCUUGUAACUUAUUUGCUUCCUUCUUGCUCUAACAACAUAUCUAUGGUGGCUUUCUUGUUCUGUAAAGUUAUCAUGUCAAACUACCCAAUGUGUUUUGUUAGGCACUUAUUCGGUUUUGUAUAAAUGAAAAGGUAUUGGAGACAUUCAAUUCCAAAUUGCAUUAUCAAAUGGAGUGUCCACAGUCGGUUCCCAGCACACAAGGCUGUUUCUGUCAAAGUGAAUAACUGUGAGCGUUCUACUUGGCUUACUGCUAGAAGAGAGGGACACCCAGAAAUUCUGGACGGUCAACAAAUUCUCGAUGAUAUCAACGAUGAGGUAAAACUUACAGUUAAAUUUUCCAUGUGGUGCAUUUCAAAAGUCUGCUGAAAGUGCCAGUUGACUUGAAGCGUUGUUUUACGUUAGUCUAGUGAAUUAGAUAUAUUACAAGUGAGUUCUGUUUAAGAAAUCUGAUUAUUUUAGAACUAUCAUGCUUCUUACAAGUGCUUGUGUUUGUUUUUCAAAAUAAUAUUUGACAGUUAGCAAAUCACGUAGAUUCUUCAGAUCUGUACAUUGGGGUUACGAAACAUAGAAAAAUCUCUAUUGGGUCAGAGAAGCCAAGGUGGAUCACGUCCUUGGAAUACCAUGGAGUUGUAGGGUAACACUCAGGACUACUUUUUUAAUUGGCUAGUAUUGUCUAAUUGUUGCUGCAUAUGUUCCUGUAAUGAAGAAAUAUGAAAUUCUUUAAAACAAGAACAUCCUUCUCUGCGUCCUACACUUCGAUUUAUGGUUCGUCUGCUCAUCCCUGUCAAACUCCUCGCUCCUUCUGCCACUUCACUGUUGUUACUGUUUUGUUUUUCCACUAUCAAAUUGUGGUGAGUACAGGAUCAUAGCUGGAAAACCAAUUUAAGAAUGUAAAGUAAAAGACCUUAAUUUGGAGGCGGUACUACAAUCUUAUUCUUCAUAUAUUAUAUAUCCCAUGUGCAUCUGCCUUUGCUGAGACCAAUCUGUGUUCUCGUGUGGUCUCGGGUCACUGGCAAUAACAUGUAUAAUGCCACAACUAUUUUCAGUAAUGACCAUCGUUUAAUGGGCUUCAGAAUUGUUCUUAUACACACACACACACAUGCUUUUUUCUUAUUAUGCUCCAUCUGAACCAUUCAGACAUGGAAUUCAUAAAAGCCUCUACGUCUAACCUAAACGUAGAAAUACUAUUGUGGGCAAUGACUAUAAAUUCCUGGUGGUGGUAAAGUGAUUGAUUUCUAGGAAACUAGUAAUAGAUCUCAAUGGAUGAAUUGAACUAAUUGAUCGGAAAUAUACUUCUUAAUAUCCUUUUAUAACUUUUUUUCAUCUUGGGAUGAAAAUGUAUUUCCUGCACAUUUCCGCAUGGAUAGUUGAUUGAAGUAUGUUUGAUGAUUUGAUAAAUCAUUUAUGAUUUUGAUUUAACUAUUAACAUGAUGCUAUUCUGCAGAGGAGAUGAUCAGUACCUUUAUGUCAGUGGCGUUGGCAUAAAAACUGGUGAUUACUUCAACUUCUAUCGUUCAGACCCCGAAACUGCAUUAGCUUCAUGUAACAACAUCUCUUCAAGCCUGAAAAAAUUGAAGGUCAAUGAAACUCAAAAACAUCGCUGUCACAUGAGCGAAGUAUUUGGGGGUUUUCUGUUCGCUUGUUGUGGCCGUGGUGAGCCAUUCUUUGGACGCGCCAAUGUUGAUGGCUCUCCCUUUGUGGAGAACUUCUCCAGGGUUCCGUUGGCAGGAAUAUUUUGCGGGGGAGAAAUUGCACGUGGCUCUUUGAGGUUGACCGGGGAAGCUCAGAAAGAUAGUGAUGCUCGUUGCACUCUGCAUGUCUACUGCACCAUUUAUCUUGUGCUGUCAUAUACUCCAGCACCAGCACCAGCACCAUUGGAGCAUUAGAUGUUGCCUGCUGCUCUUCCCUUGAAUCUCUUUUGUUUUAGUACAGUAACUGUUUAUACAUUUCGGUUUUACAGUCCGUGAUCGAUGAUCGGCCUGUAUGGCCGUAAUUUAAUUUGCAGUUGGGUGUUUUCUUUUUUGCAUAGCACGCUUUCAUGCGAUAUACAAAAGGAUUUAUAAACGGUUGAUGAUCCUGGCAUUUAUAUUAUGUGCGAGAUUAUUUUUCAAGAAAAUACAGAAAAGCAUGAAUGGGAAGGUGCGUUGAUCAUGUUUGGUGUAUUUCUGAUAAAAACAAGAUUUCUCUCAGUUAUGAUUAUGUAUACGUAUAUGUUGUACUAUGUAUGUGUGUAUGUGUGUAUGUAUACUAAUUUGAAACAAGGAAAGCUGCAAAAACAGAAUCGGUUAUAAACUUUUAAUCAAAAAUAUUUCUCAAACGACACUAAACAUCCAAUAAACCCGACACUAAACAUACAAUAGAAGGGCAUCAACUUGUGUGUGUACGACAACAACAAAAAACAAUAAAGCCUUAUCCCACUAAGUAGGGUGGGUUGUAUGAAUCUUAGAACGCCACUACGCUCAGUUUUGCACCAAGUCUUCCAUUAGCUCUAAAUACUCCAUAUUUUUUCUUAAAGUCUCUUUCCAAGUCUUUGUACGUCUUUCAUGUACGCCAUAGUACAGCUUCUAAUUCUACUUUGUUUUGUUUAUAACUGGUUCUAUUCUAUUUGUAUAUAUUUGCUUACUUUAAAAAAAAUGCGAUAAAGUUAAAAUGCAAUUGUGAUAUUGGCACGGCUCAAUCAAAUUAAAAGACCCAAUCCUUUGGGAGAUUUUAUUUGAUUGAGCCAUUCCAACAUCCCACAUUUUCCCAGCAAAACAAGAACACAAAAACCCCAAAGGCACGAGUCUUCACUUCCACCUCCAUGGAUCAUAUCACUCUCUCAAAUACUUCCUUCUUUAUUUGGUUUUCGCCGUGACCCAUAUCGAUCGCCUUGGUCUCCGCCGUGACACAUCCACCGCGAGGAAGUCGAUGAUGCAGAGCGAAAGAGAGGUGAUGGAUGUGGAGAAAGCCAUUGAAGUUGCAAAUGUGAUGAGGGAAAGAAUGGAAUUUAUAGAGAUGGGUUGCAAACAAAUAGAAGUAUAAAAAACUGUUGAGUGCACCUUUAGAUAUAUAUACUUUAUGUACAUGUAAAAUAAAAUCGUAAAUGGUGAGCCUCCCGAUCGAAGAGUCCUGUGUAGUAGCGUCACUUGCACACCCUCAAAACCGGCUCUGUUUAAAACUCUAAUGAACGAAUUCAAAUUAUAGUAUUAUCAACGAAAAACAGUGAGGUUGAACAGGCAAACCAUGAAAUUAAACAGCCAACAAAUAUUGUAUGAAAUCAUUGCCGUCCGAGUUAGAUGUGUUCUAGUGAAGGUCUCAUUUGUGGUUGGUGCUUUGAAAAGUUCUUAGAUUCUCAUAACUACGACUUUAAAAUGUAUACAUUAAAUAGGUUUAUAAAUGGAAGAUAAUUGAACUCUUCACCUAACCAAUCAUGUUUUUUAGGGGUGCAACUGCAAAUUGUAACGCUUGAAGAAUUUAGAGGGAAUGCUUUCAUUUGGUUUAUUUAAUCUUUUCGGCUAUCCUUCUCAAUUUGCAUGUUGCACCGAUGGUUCAAACUGUCUAUUGUCAUCCCUUCAAAAUCAUUAUUACAAUAAAUUAACUAUAUCCAAUAAAUAGGCGAAUCAUGUUUCUUACUUGAAUGCUAAAAUUUUGAUAACGUUAAUCAAAUGAUUUCUAGUUUGGUUGAUUUCUUCUUCAGAAUUGAUCUUUAAAUGUAACCUAAACUUUUCGUUCAUCAAGCAAACAUUGUAUGAUGUAGAAAAAACUAAGAAAUUAAAUGUCUGAAUGAAAAGAUUGCUAGCAUCCGCCAAAUCAAAUACAAGUCGAAAUCCACACAACUUAAAUAUAGGCUUAAAAAUCCAAGUUGGAAUUAAUUAUGUUUAGUAGACUUUUUAAGUGCAGAGGCCGUCUGAUGAUGCAUGGCAAUGGCGUGUUCAUUAUCUCACAAAAGACACAAAAACUACGUUUGCAUAUUCGCCAACCCAUUAAGCCAAAACAGUCAAUGACUUGACCUAAUUUCUUGUCCCAUUUUCUUCAUGAUUUAGUGCAUGUCUUUGAAGAAAAAAUGAAAUAUAUCUAUCUAUAAAUAACAACCCAACUGAAAAACGAAACUAGAUUUGACCUCAGGAUUACUUAGAGCCACACUCUAGAAGAAAGCGGUUGCAGCUUUAUUGUUUGUCCCGUAANNNNNNNNNNNNNNNNNNNNNNNNNNNNNNNNNNNNNNNNNNNNNNNNNNNNNNNNNNNNNNNNNNNNNNNNNNNNNNNNNNNNNNNNNNNNNNNNNNNNNNNNNNNNNNNNNNNNNNNNNNNNNNNNNNNNNNNNNNNNNNNNNNNNNNNNNNNNNNNNNNNNNNNNNNNNNNNNNNNNNNNNNNNNNNNNNNNNNNNNNNNNNNNNNNNNNNNNNNNNNNNNNNNNNNNNNNNNNNNNNNNNNNNNNNNNNNNNNNNNNNNNNNNNNNNNNNNNNNNNNNNNNNNNNNNNNNNNNNNNNNNNNNNNNNNNNNNNNNNNNNNNNNNNNNNNNNNNNNNNNNNNNNNNNNNNNNNNNNNNNNNNNNNNNNNNNNNNNNNNNNNNNNNNNNNNNNNNNNNNNNNNNNNNNNNNNNNNNNNNNNNNNNNNNNNNNNNNNNNNNNNNNNNNNNNNNNNNNNNNNNNNNNNNNNNNNNNNNNNNNNNNNNNNNNNNNNNNNNNNACACCACCAAACAUAGACAAGUCGACAAGAUAUGGUAGCUUCCAAAGAGCAGCAAGCAGCAGGAAAGUUCCUGGGUAAUGAAAAGUAUUACAUAUAUAACGAAGAAUAAAAUAGAAAAUGACAUAUUUUUGUACACACCGUUUAACAAAAUAAUCAAAUUUCCAUUUGUUUAAAUCUACAAUUUACGGAUGACCAAACAAAAUUCAAAAGGUUUUAGAUUCUCCUGUAUCAAAAUUUCCAUUGGUUUAAAUCUACAAUUUUUUACCUUUCAUACUCUUCAUAAUUUUUGACCGUCGAAUCGAAUAAGUGUUGGAAAUUUGAGUAGUGUGAGUAGAAAUUUUUUUGUCCUACAUUGGUCAUUCCAAAAGAUUUUAUCACUUUAUAAGGUUUUAUCCCUUAUAGAAAUUAUUGGAGUAAUAGGUGAAGACUAAAUUCGGCUCACCCUUGGGGUUGGGCUUUGAGGUGUACUAAUUAAUUGGUAAUUAAUAUAUAUUUAAUUGUCAAAGAUGGGCCUUGGGCAUUGGGGCUCUAAUAAUUAAAUUAAUUAUUUAUUUUUGGAAUUAAUUAAUUAUUUUUAAUUUCGAAUUUAAAUUAAUUAAUUAUUUUUCAUUUUUUCAGAUGAAGUCUGAAGUGUGAAAAACACAGAAACAAAAACACCAUUUUCAGUAGAUGUCUCCCAACAGAUGCAUCAUUUCCUUAUACUUGUUGCGAACAUGUAUAAUCACAUUAUAUAUACAUCUAUCUGCAUAACAUUUAUAACACAGAAAAAAUCAUAAAUCUUCUCAUGCAAUCAUAAACAUCCUUGUUGAGAGAACCACAUGAAUAUUCGUCAGAAGUCAAUUUCCAGUUCUGAAUUUCUGACUUAGAUCUUUGAAUCCUAGUGAAGCAGACGUCCGUAGAACUACAAGCACUGAGUAGGGGCGAAAUUUAUGUUUCAAAGACAUUGCGGUACAUAAGCCUCGAUAUUUUUUACUAUGCUUAAUUAAUAUUUCAUCUUGUUGAGUCUUUGGAAUAUAUUAUUCGUAUUUAUUAUUAGCAUAUUUAUUUUAUUGCGGAUUGUUACAUAUAUCAAACAAUAAGUUGAAGAAAAUCAAAGGAUUUAAAAAAAACUUUUAACGAAAAGCUCCCGGUACUGUUCACUUUAACGAAAAACCGCAUAUUUACACUAAAAGUCAAUUUAUUACUAUUCACUUUACCCUUUAUUUAGUCCUUGUCAUUAAAACUCAAAGUUUUCAAACAAUUUUCAUUAGUUUUCCUUAUAAAUUAAUAGAAGAUACGUGAAAAAGUAAAAAAAAUAUGUGAAAACACUGCCCAAUCAAAUAUAAAUACGAUAACGCAUGAAGUUUCUCCGCCAUCAGCUUGCACGUUCCACUCCUGCAGAAGAAUAUGAUUGAAAAUUCAAACCCAUGCUCCAUCAUUUCUGCAUCUUCCAUAUCAUACCCUACAUAGAAAAACAAAAACAAGAACAUUAAAAAAU